RNAcentral lists this ribosomal RNA (497 nucleotides) under uncultured bacterium. RNAcentral describes it as "partial 16S ribosomal RNA". It matches the Rfam family "Bacterial small subunit ribosomal RNA", at positions 28 to 507 of the family's 1533-position model. The record is from RNAcentral.
GAUGAACGCUGGCGGCGUGCCUAACACAUGCAAGUCGAGCGAACAGACGAGGAGCUUGCUCCUUUGACGUUAGCGGCGGACGGGUGAGUAACACGUGGAUAACCUACCUAUAAGACUGGGAUAAUUUCGGGAAACCGGAGCUAAUACCGGAUAAUAUUUCGAACCGCAUGGUUCGAUAGUGAAAGAUGGCUUUGCUAUCACUUAUAGAUGGACCUGCGCCGUAUUAGCUAGUUGGUAAGGUAACGGCUUACCAAGGCAACGAUACGUAGCCGACCUGAGAGGGUGAUCGGCCACACUGGAACUGAGACACGGUCCAGACUCCUACGGGAGGCAGCAGUAGGGAAUCUUCCGCAAUGGGCGAAAGCCUGACAGAGCAACGCCGCGUGAGUGAUGAAGGUCUUCGGAUCGUAAAGCUCUGUUAUUAGGGAAGAACAAACGUGUAAGGAACUGUGCACGUCUUGACGGUACCUAAUCAGAAAGCCACGGCUAACUACGUG